RNAcentral lists this ribosomal RNA (236 nucleotides) under uncultured bacterium. Its description in RNAcentral is "partial 16S ribosomal RNA". It matches the Rfam family "Bacterial small subunit ribosomal RNA", at positions 99 to 334 of the family's 1533-position model. The record is from RNAcentral.
CAGACGGGUGAGUAACGCGUGGUCAACCUACCGUUGAGUGGGGGAUAACUAGCCGAAAGGUUAGCUAAUACCGCAUACGUCACCGAGGGGCAUCCCUCGGCGAUAAAAGGAGCAAUCCGCUCGAUGACGGGACCGCGUCCCAUUAGCUAGAUGGUGGGGUAACGGCCUACCAUGGCACCGAUGGGUAGCUGGUUUGAGAGAGCGACCAGCCACACUGGGACUGAGAAACGGCCCAG